RNAcentral lists this long non-coding RNA (338 nucleotides) under Homo sapiens (human). Its description in RNAcentral is "non-protein coding lnc-TMEM98-2:2". Lineage: Eukaryota; Metazoa; Chordata; Mammalia; Primates; Hominidae. The record is from RNAcentral.
AGCCACCCACACUUGCUAAGAGAAAGGAAAGGAGCUUUGUCACCUCCUGAGGGACUGCCUCUGCCAUCAGAAAACCACCCCAAUCCCUGGCACCAGCAGAGCUGGGUUGCAUCUGACUACCGUUAGCAGCUGUCCUUCAGAAGGAGGAGAUCCACCUGUCUCGAUAUCAGUGUCCUCAUUUGUGGAAUAAAAGCUCUGGAAUAAGAUCCACCCUGAUUUCAGCGGGCGUUCCUGGGUCUUGUAUGCACUAGGUGCCCUCAAUGCUUGGCAACUGGAAUGGGUUAGCCUGGAGGCAUUUAGGCUGUCCUUCUACAACCACAGAAGAGCCAUCACUGGCA